This 262-nucleotide ribosomal RNA is filed under the name uncultured bacterium. Its description in RNAcentral is "partial 16S ribosomal RNA". It matches the Rfam family "Bacterial small subunit ribosomal RNA", at positions 57 to 305 of the family's 1533-position model. The record is from RNAcentral.
GCAAGUCGAGCGAGAAAGCAACUUCGGUUGUAAGUACAGCGGCGAACGGGUGAGUAACGCGUGGACAAUCUACCGUCGAGUGGGGAACAACCAGGGGAAACCCAGGCUAAUUCCGCAUAAUUCCGUCAUUCCUUGGAGUGACGGGGAAAGGGGGCCAAUUCUUGAAAGCUCCCGCUCUUCGAGGAGUCCGCGUCUGAUUAGCUUGUUGGUGGGGUAAUGGCCUACCAAGGCAGCGAUCAGUAGCCGGCCUGAGAGGGCGAUC